Molecule: non-coding RNA, 197 nt
Organism: Tinamus guttatus (white-throated tinamou)
Lineage: Eukaryota; Metazoa; Chordata; Aves; Tinamiformes; Tinamidae
Source: RefSeq, a predicted model, not a curated record
AUCAACCAGAUUUGGAACCGUGGCUGUACCCAACAUCCUCCUUUUCCAAGGGGCAAAACCUAUGGCUAGAUUUAAUCAUACAGACAGAACACUGGAAACACUGAAAGACUUCAUUUUUAAUCAAACAGGAAUAGAAGCUAAAAGUGAUGUGACUGUGACCGAGGAAGACUGGGAAGGCCCUCUGCCGAGUGUCCUGA